This 497-nucleotide ribosomal RNA is filed under the name uncultured bacterium. Its description in RNAcentral is "partial 16S ribosomal RNA". It matches the Rfam family "Bacterial small subunit ribosomal RNA", at positions 28 to 507 of the family's 1533-position model. The record is from RNAcentral.
GAUGAACGCUGGCGGCGUGCUUAAUACAUGCAAGUCGAGCGAACGGACGCGAAGCUUGCUUCUCUGAUGUUUGCGGCGGACGGGGGAGUAACACGUGGAUAACCCACCUAUAAGACUGGGAUAACUUCGGGAAACCGGAGCUUAUACCGGAUAAUAUUUUUAACCGCAUGGUUUAAAUGUGAAAGACGGUCUUGCUGUCACUUAUAGAUGGAUCCGCGCUGCAUUAGCUAGUUGGUAAGGUAACGGCUUACCAAGGCAACGAUGCAUAGCCGACCUGAGAGAGUGGUCGGCGACACUAGAAGUGGAACGCGGCCACUGCUACUACGAGAGGGAGCAGUAGGCAAUCGGCCGCAGUAGUGGGGAAUAUUGCGGAACGAGCGCAAGUGUGAGGUAGAGGUGUCCCGUUCGUGAUACUGUGUUAUUGGGGAAAAACAUAUGUGUACAUAACUGAACAGAACGUGACGGUACCUGCACAAAAAGCCACGGCUAACUACGUG